UCUUGGUGGUUUGAGCGGCGGGGGUACACCCGUUCCCAUCCCGAACACGGCAGUUAAGCCCGUCAGCGCCGAUGGUAGUCGCAAGGCAAGAGUAGGCCGCCGCCAAGAUU
RNAcentral lists this ribosomal RNA (110 nucleotides) under Candidatus Magasanikbacteria bacterium GW2011_GWA2_56_11. Lineage: Bacteria; Candidatus Magasanikiibacteriota. The record is from RNAcentral.